UAUCAUGAAAAAAGACUUUGAUUUGCAAUGACAGAGAUUUGAAUUCUCAGAUUAGCAUAGUUCGCUGAUGUGCCAACAUUACUUGUCUGUUACUGGCACUCUAUGAAGUAACAUACAAAAACUUUUGGCUCCUUGAUCAUUUGUAUGAUAUUCCUUCUGUUUCAGGAAAGAUUAUGUACACAUGAUAUGUUAUCGGUAAUUAGAUGCUAACCUCUGCUCAUUCUUAAUGCACUUUAGUUUGAUGCUCUUACACGAAUGUGAGUUUAUUUUACAUCAGUUUCAGUAAUAUGUUCAUAAGUUUUGUUGUCAUUUCAACUUUUUAUACUCUUCUGGGUCAAGUUUUGAUCAGCAUUAAUUUUGCAUCUGCUUCAAUCAGUGGAGGGUUAGAGGUGCGUAAGCGGGAAAAAUAGCAGCUUGUCCAGAUUCCAAGGUGCAGUAUCUCCUUUUUCUGGAAGGUGUACAACGUGUGGUUCAUAAUGCAGGUUUCAGCCAUAUAAAUGGUCAUGGACUCUUGCAUGGUUGCAUAUCACAGAGAACAAAGGCCUCUGUUCCUAGUCUUAUUUGAUAGCAUGUCAUUUACCUAUGCUAUUGCAAGACUCAGAGUCGAGAUUGAAAAAGAAACUCAUGCAUGCGAUGUGCCUGUGGUCUAGAACUUAUUGCUUUGGACAAAAUGUUUAAUGAGGAAAAGUGUUUUCCAUCAACUUCUAAGAGAAGCUCUUCUCGUAGAGAAUGCUUUUCCUGGCUAGUCAAGCUCUGUGUCCUCUUUCUUCGAAGAAAGAAAGUUGAAGUGCUUUUAUGGGUGACCCUUGGAUGUACUUGCUUGCUACUUGGGGUUCUAUUUCUAUAGGGAAUAAUGGGAUGAGAGAAGCGAGAUAAAUUUAGUUUGAUGGUGAAAACCUAUUUGUUCUUUCUUGUCAUACUCUUUGUACUCUUUUUCUUUUGAUUAAGUGAAUUAUC
Long non-coding RNA from Prunus dulcis (almond), 957 nucleotides. RefSeq lists it as uncharacterized. NCBI's taxonomy places the organism in Eukaryota, Viridiplantae, Streptophyta, Magnoliopsida, Rosales, Rosaceae. The transcript is spliced from 4 exons. The record is from RefSeq and is a predicted model, not a curated record.